UGAAAUCCUAACCCCCAAGGUAAUGGCACUAUGACGUGGAGCCUUUGAGAGUGAUUAGGUCGUGAGGAUAAAGCCCUUGUGAAUGGCAUUAGUGCCCUUAUAAAAGAGACUCAAGGGAGUGCAUUUGCCCCUUCUACCAUGUGAAGACACAGGGAGAAGUCACAGUCUAUGAACCAGGAAUGUGGACCUCACCAGAUACUGAAUCUGCUGGUGCCUUGAUCUUGGACUUCCCAGCCUCCAGAACUGUCCUGAACAGCUUGGAGUACUAAGAAGAGCGCUGGACAUGAACUGGAAUAUGUGGGUUCAAAUCCCACCUUUUCACUGCCCAGCUCUGUGACCCUGAGCAAGUGACUCAACCUCUGUGAGCCCCGUGUCCUCUCUGUAAAAUGGAGGUAUGAAUGCCUGUGAGAACAGGAUAUGGGGAGGGUUCCUGUAUAACACUUCGCCCUGCCCAUCUGAAUAAAAGGCUGCAUUCACCCUUCCUAAGGAAGACCACUUUCCGAUGUUCCAGUCUGAAGACAAGGAAUGCAAAGCUCACGGAUGCCGAGGAAUUUAUCCAAGAUCACUGUGAUGGGAUGGGAACUUUGGUUUUCAGCCUUUAAAUACAUUGGUGCAGAAGUCCAAGAAAGAUGCUUGGAAAGAC
This 643-nucleotide long non-coding RNA is filed under the name Homo sapiens (human). RNAcentral's name for it is "HSALNT0383171". Lineage: Eukaryota; Metazoa; Chordata; Mammalia; Primates; Hominidae. The record is from RNAcentral.